GCACCCAUAGCUCAAUUGGAUAGAGCAUCUGACUACGGAUCAGAAGGUUGGGGGUUCGAGUCCCUCUGGGUGCACCA
This 77-nucleotide transfer RNA is filed under the name Candidatus Latescibacterota bacterium. Its description in RNAcentral is "tRNA-Arg". It matches the Rfam family "tRNA". From Rfam's summary of the family: Transfer RNA (tRNA) molecules are approximately 80 nucleotides in length. Their secondary structure includes four short double-helical elements and three loops (D, anti-codon, and T loops). Further hydrogen bonds mediate the characteristic L-shaped molecular structure. tRNAs have two regions of fundamental functional importance: the anti-codon, which is responsible for specific mRNA codon recognition, and the 3' end, to which the tRNAs corresponding amino acid is attached (by aminoacyl-tRNA synthetases). tRNAs cope with the degeneracy of the genetic code in two manners: having more than one tRNA (with a specific anti-codon) for a particular amino acid; and 'wobble' base-pairing, i.e. permitting non-standard base-pairing at the 3rd anti-codon position. The record is from RNAcentral. Lineage: Bacteria; Pseudomonadati; Candidatus Latescibacterota.